Long non-coding RNA from Dalotia coriaria, 690 nucleotides. RefSeq lists it as uncharacterized. NCBI's taxonomy places the organism in Eukaryota, Metazoa, Arthropoda, Insecta, Coleoptera, Staphylinidae. The transcript has 2 exons. The record is from RefSeq and is a predicted model, not a curated record.
CGCUAAAGAAAACGUUAAACUGGGAAAGACGUGAUUUAAUAAUAUUGGGUAUUGAGAUUGCGUAGACGCGCAUCAAACAUCUCAAGUUGGAAGCUGAGAAGCCGGUAUCUCAAUGGUAAUUAACGUUGCACCUUGAUCAAUAGAAAUCCGCUUCGUAUUGUGUGAUGUUUAAUUUAACAUCAUGAUGAUCAUAAUUAUCAAGAUAACUGGCACUCGGUAUGAGGUUAUAACUUUAGAAUUUAAUGCAUUAUAGAAUUCAAUGAUUCAUAAUAAGAAAGUUAAUUAUCUAAACCAAUUUAUAUUAAUUUUAUUGUUGUUUAAAAACCCAAUAGAGGCAAAUUUUAAAAAUAUAUAAGAUAAAAACGUAGAAAUCUGCUAAUGUUUGGGUUUUUUCAAGUUAAAUUUAAGUGAAAUUUGUUGACCGCAAAGAUAAUGUUACUGUAAUCUAGAAACGAUGCAUGCAACUAUCAACAAUCACCAUCAUAUCCUCAAUAAUGUGGCGCAAUGUGCCACAUAUUUCACACUUAGACAAAACCCGUCGACACUUCUUUUCUUCUCUCCAACAGCAUUCCACCGCAAUAAACACACGGCUCGUGCCACCGGCUCGCAUUAAAAUAUUUAAAAGAAAACCGCAAUUAUCUGCACAUUAGUUUUAAACUUAAUAAAAACUAUGAGAUUGUAAUAAAAUCA